UUUAAAGCAAGGAUAUGCUAUUGCAAAACUCAAAACCUAAAGAUGGAACUAGUAAAGUGGAAGUUGUAGAUUUACCAGUGUUCGGAUUGGAAAAGUUGGCAAUCGCGACAGACAAUUUUCAGGAAAUUAACAAGCUUGAGCAAGGUGGUUUUGGCACAUUAUACAAGGGAAAAUUAGAAGAUGGACUGCAUGGACAGAGAAAAUAGGUUACCAAAACUGAGACCAGCUCAACAUAUAGCUUCCUAAGGCAAGAAGGAUGUUACUAUUCAAACUUCACAGGCUGG
Long non-coding RNA from Spinacia oleracea (spinach), 284 nucleotides. RefSeq lists it as uncharacterized. The record is from RefSeq and is a predicted model, not a curated record. The transcript has 3 exons. NCBI's taxonomy places the organism in Eukaryota, Viridiplantae, Streptophyta, Magnoliopsida, Caryophyllales, Amaranthaceae.